RNAcentral lists this ribosomal RNA (498 nucleotides) under uncultured Glomeromycotina. Its description in RNAcentral is "partial small subunit ribosomal RNA". It matches the Rfam family "Eukaryotic small subunit ribosomal RNA", at positions 591 to 1092 of the family's 1831-position model. The record is from RNAcentral. Lineage: Eukaryota; Fungi; Glomeromycota.
CCAAUAGCGUAUAUUAAAGUUGUUGCAGUUAAAAAGCUCGUAGUUGAAUUUCGGGAUCAAUAUGUUGGUCGUGCCUUGGUACGUACUAGUUUAUUGAUUUCUUCCGUCUGACGAAUCAUGAUGUCAUUAAUUUGGUGUCAUGGGGAAUCAGGACUGUUACUUUGAAAAAAUUAGAGUGUUUAAAGCAGGCUCACGCUUGAAUACAUUAGCAUGGAAUAAUGAAAUAGGACGUUUGAUUCUAUUUUGUUGGUUUCUAGGAUCGACGUAAUGAUUAAUAGGGAUAGUUGGGGGCAUUAGUAUUCAAUUGUCAGAGGUGAAAUUCUUGGAUUUAUUGAAGACUAACUACUGCGAAAGCAUUUGCCAAGGAUGUUUUCAUUAAUCAAGAACGAAAGUUAGGGGAUCGAAGACGAUCAGAUACCGUCGUAGUCUUAACCAUAAACUAUGCCGACUAGGGAUCGGAUGAUGUUAAUUUUUUAAUGACUCAUUCGGUGCCUUACG